GAGAUCCCCCACACUGGUACUGAGACACGGACCAGACUCCUACGGGAGGCAGCAGUGAGGAAUAUUGGACAAUGGGCGCAAGCCUGAUCCAGCCAUGCCGCGUGCAGGAUUAAGGUCUUAUGGAUUGUAAACUGCUUUUAUACGAGAAGAAACGCUACUUCGUGAAGUAGUUUGACGGUAUCGUAAGAAUAAGGAUCGGCUAACUCCGUGCCAGCAGCCGCGGUAAUACGGAGGAUCCAAGCGUUAUCCGGAAUCAUUGGGUUUAAAGGGUCCGUAGGCGGUUUGGUAAGUCAGUGGUGAAAUCCCAUCGCUCAACGGUGGAACUGCCAUUGAUACUGCUAGACUUGAAUUAUUAGGAAGUAACUAGAAUAUGUAGUGUAGCGGUGAAAUGCUUAGAGAUUACAUGGAAUACCAAUUGCGAAGGCAGGUUACUACUAAUAUAUUGACGCUGAUGGACGAAAGCGUGGGUAGCGAACAGGAUUAGAUACCCUGGUAGUCCACGCCGUAAACGAUGGAUACUAGCUGUUGGGGGCAACUUCAGUGGCUAAGCGAAAGUGAUAAGUAUCCCACCUGGGGAGUACGAACGCAAGUUUGAAACUCAAAGGAAUUGACGGGGGCCCGCACAAGCGUUGGAGCAUGUGGUUUAAUUCGAUGCAACGCG
RNAcentral lists this ribosomal RNA (661 nucleotides) under uncultured bacterium. Its description in RNAcentral is "bacterial SSU rRNA". It matches the Rfam family "Bacterial small subunit ribosomal RNA", at positions 300 to 963 of the family's 1533-position model. The record is from RNAcentral.